This 1764-nucleotide ribosomal RNA is filed under the name Triticum aestivum (bread wheat). RNAcentral describes it as "partial small subunit ribosomal RNA". The record is from RNAcentral. Lineage: Eukaryota; Viridiplantae; Streptophyta; Magnoliopsida; Poales; Poaceae.
AUGUCGGCGUCAGCUUCAGCGGCGGCGAACCAGCAGCCAAGCGGUGUUGUGUCAAGUACAACAUCAACAGCUACACAGGGAGAAGGAGCACAGGUUGUUCCUAGAUCAAAAGAUCCAGCAUGGAAAUAUUGCACAUGUCUGGACAUCAGCAAGAAGAACAGUCUAAAAUGCAUAUUCUGCGGUCAUUUGUCCAGCAAUGGCACUAGUCGAAUCAAAUUGCACCUUGCAUGCAUUCCUAAGUCUGGUGUGAAUCACUGUGAGAAAGUGCCAGCUGAUGUCAAAGAGGAGAUCCUUCAGUACUUGACAAAGAAGGGUGACAAAAAGGUAGCCAAGCUUAUGGAGCAGAAGAGACGCAGAAAUGGAGUUGACUUGAGCCACUCAGAGGGGGAAGAACAAGCUACAAGUGAUAAAGAUGGCCUAAACCAUUCUGCACUUGUGCUUCAGCCAUCGAGAUCAACAAGAAAUAAAUCUAAAUCUUCAAGUGGCCCUAUGGACAAAUACUGUGAAUUAACUCCCGAAGAGCUUGUUGCCGCAAGGAAGAGGAAACGUGGUGCUGACACGAUCCAGGGGAAGCUGACAACUGAGAAGAGAGAACAAAAAAGGGCUCGUGCUUGUGAGUACAUCUGUCAGUGGUUCUAUGAAGCUUGCAUUCCAUUCAACGCAGUCACACUUCCCAGCUUUGACCUCAUGCUUCAGUCAAUUGGACAGUGUGGUGAGGACUUGGACGGUCCUACUCCUUAUGAAAUGGGUGGCCCAAUAUUGAAUAAGAGGAAGAAAAGAGUUCAGGAGUCCUUCAAUGCACACAGGAAGACUUGGGAGCUUACUGGAUGUACAAUCAUGACAGAUGCAUGGACUGACAUAAGAGGAAGAGGGGUAAUGAAUCUUGUAGUUCAUAGUGCUCAUGGUGUGGUGUUUCUUAAUUCUGUGGACUGUUCAGCCGUGAAGAAAGAUGGGAAGUACAUCUUUGAGCUUGUUGAUAGAUGCAUAGAAGAGGUUGGUGAGAAGCAUGUAGUUCAAGUUGUGACUGAUAAUGCAAGUGUUAAUCAAGCGGCAUCAACCUUGUUGAAAGAAAAGCGCCCCAACAUAUUUUGGAAUGGUUGUGCUGCCCAUUCUAUUGAUCUGAUGUUAGAGGAUAUUGGCAAGCUUAAAACAGUGGACUCUACUAUUACACAAGCUAGAGCUGUCACUGUUUUCCUUUAUGCACACACUAGAGUUUUGUCUCUAAUGAGGGAAUUCCUUGGGAAAGAUCUGGUGAGGUCUGGCAUUACAAGGUUUGCUACAACUUACUUGAACUUGAAAAGCAUGCUGGACAACAAGAAAGAACUGCAGAAGCUAUUCAGAUCAGAUCAGAUGGAUGAAAUGGGUUACUUAAAAAAGGUGAAAGGACGUGAUUCAAACCGAAGUGUGCGCUCUGAAAAUUUUUGGACGGGAGUAGAACGUGCUGUCAACUUCUUUGAGCCUUUGGCUAAUUUUCUGCGGCGAAUGGACAGCGAUGUACCAGCUAUGGGUUUCAUAUAUGGCGCUUUUUUGGAUGCAAAGAAGGAGAUUGCAGCUAGAUUUGACAAUGAGGAGGCUAGUAUCCAGGAAGUGCUACACAUUAUUGAUAAGAGAUGGGACAACAAAUUGAAGGGGCCCCUACAUAGGGCUGGAUACUUCUUAAACCCAUACUACUACUAUGAAAACAAGAUGGAGAUUGAGUUGGAUGGAACAUUUAAAGAUGGCCUUGUUGCUUGCAUGGAGAAGAUGGUUAGAAGGAAGAUAUAA